RNAcentral lists this ribosomal RNA (501 nucleotides) under uncultured bacterium. RNAcentral's name for it is "partial 16S ribosomal RNA". It matches the Rfam family "Bacterial small subunit ribosomal RNA", at positions 30 to 523 of the family's 1533-position model. The record is from RNAcentral.
AUUGAACGCUGGCGGCAGGCUUAACACAUGCAAGUCGAGCGGGGAAGGGUAGCUUGCUACCUAACCUAGCGGCGGACGGGUGAGUAAUGCUUAGGAAUCUGCCAUUUAGUGGGGGACAACAUUCCGAAAGGAAUGCUAAUACCGCAUACGUCCUACGGGAGAAAGCAGGGGAUCUUCGGACCUUGCGCUAAAUGAUGAGCCUAAGUCGGAUUAGCUAGGUGGUGGGGUAAAGGCCUACCAAGGCGACGAUCUGUAGCGGGUCUGAGAGGAUGAUCCGCCACACUGGGACUGGGGCACGGCCCAGACUCCUGCGGGGGGCAGCAGUGGGGAAUAUUGGACAAUGGGCGGAAGCCUGAUCCAGCCAUUCCGCGUGUGUGAAGAAGGCCUUAUGGUUGUAAAGCACUUUAAGCGAGGAGGAGGCCACUUAGAUUAAUACUCUAGGAUAGUGGACGUUACUCGCAGAGUAAGCACCGGCUAACUCUGUGCCAGCCGCCGCAGUAA